ACUAAAAAUUUGAAUUUUUAUUAAUAUCUUAAACAAAAACAAAAAAUUAACUAAGAAAACCAAUUAAUCUAAAAGUAAUUAAGAUAACUAAACAAAAUUUAGCUAAUUCCUAAUUGAUGACAAGCAAACUAAAGAAAUAACUAAGUCCUAAUCUAGUUGUUGUACUUCCUUGGGCGUCCUCUUCCCCUCCAGGCUUUUGAAGGUCUCGCAUCCUUCCUUAGGUGUCCACCCCUUCGCUUUCAUCAUCACUCUCACUAUAUUCAUUAGAAAUUUCUUCCUCCUUUGAAGAGGUUUAAAUCAAUGAGGUACCUCUAUUGGUGUCUUCUUUCAGAAUGCUCAACUUUCACAAUUUUCUUAAGAGUGAGAAAUCUUUCUACGGAUCUAGUAUAAACUCUUCGAUAGGCAUAAAAAGCAGUAAGCUCUUCAGGCUUAAAGUCUUGUUAUGUUCUAGCCUCCUCUUUUGGCACUAAUGUUUAGGGAAUGAUAGUGGAGGGAAUGAUGUGGGAAAGGGUGUAGGUGCUCCUCUUCUAAUUUCUUUUUCUUAGAAGCUUUUCUUGAGCUAGAUGUCAUGGAUGGUGUUGUAGGACAAGGUGGUUGUGAUGGAGGUGGGGAAGAACUUACCUCUUACUUCACACUUGUUUCCCUAGAAUUCAUGAUGUAUAAAAAGCUAGGGAAUGAGAAAAUAUUUUUCGAAU
RNAcentral lists this long non-coding RNA (695 nucleotides) under Ricinus communis (castor bean). RNAcentral describes it as "long non-coding RNA (RCOM_LNC000856)". Lineage: Eukaryota; Viridiplantae; Streptophyta; Magnoliopsida; Malpighiales; Euphorbiaceae. The record is from RNAcentral.